GGAGGCCUCACAAUCAUGGCGGAAGGUGCAGGAGGAGCAAAGGCAUGCCUUACAUGGCAGCAGGCAAGAGAGAAGUGCAGAGCAAAAGGGGGAAAAGCCCCCUAUAAAACCCUCAGAUCUCACGAGAACUCACCCACUAUCAUGAGAACAGCUUGGGGUAACUGCCCCCACGAUUCAGUUACCUCCCACUGAGUCCCUUGUACACACAUGGGGAUUAUGGGAACUACAAUUCAAGAUGAGAUUUGGAUGGGAAUAUAGCCCAAACCAUGUCACCUUUAUUUUCAAAGUGUAUUCUAAUCUCUGAUUGUUUUAAAAAAGACCUCUUAAUAUCCAUGGCUAAAGCAAGUUUUGAUAUUGCAUCUCUUAAACUAUGAAAUGUUUGGAAACACAGAUGCAGUUACAAAGCUGUAGAAACAUUGCUAUUCCCAUCCAUCCUUAAUGUUCAGUGUGUCUCUGCCCUAAGCAGGAAGCUCAGAAAUCUCCGAGCCUUCAAAUAAGAGGUGGUAGUUUUCCUCUGCGUGUAGCAUAUUUUAUAUUUAGUCCAUGCAUACCAGUAUCUCUUGAUUAUAAAGUGACAAAGAGCAGUGGGGUAAUAAAAACAUCUCAGAGUUGUUAAUAUUGAGAAACAAAUGGGAGCCAAAGCCGUCCACAUGCAAAGUGCUUGUUCCAGCAUCUGGCCUUUGGUAAAUUAGAACCAGUCAGUUGUUGUAUAACUGGUCCCAGUGGCUUUGUACAAAUCAUAUGCAUUUAUGUAACCCAGAGUAUCAUGAUAAUGUGGUCAUUUCUAUUUGUUCAUAAUGUUCUAUUUAUUCUAACUAUACCAUGUAAGGCAUACUGUGUUCCCUGAGAUACUUUUGUUAUCCCCACUUAAUAAGAGAAGUAAAAUGAAGCUCAGAGAAGUUAUGUCACCGGUACAGGAUGAAGCUGACUUGCAGCCAAGGCUUCGCCUCCAGCACCAUGGCCCUAGAUGUGGUGGCCUCACCUUAUUGACUGAGUUGCUUUCCCUGAUCUAUGAAGAUACAUAGUGAGCCAGUGAGAGCUUAAAAAAACUGUGAGCCAAUUUUGCAAGCACCUCUGGCAAGAUGUCGUGGUGGUCUAGAGGGGCUGUCACACAAUGCAGCUGGAGGAAGGUGAGGGUAUACCUCGGCCGUCCUCAUCGUCCCUCCUUCUUUCUUGUCCUGGUGCCCAGGGAUUGCUGUAGUAACAGUACAGGUCCCUCUGGAAUCCCGGGGGAACCGAAUAUUGGUAAACGAAGAGGUGAUGUGGCUGGUGGAGAAGAGGAUAUGGAGAUGGCAUAACACAAGCCCCAUGGACCCCCAGCUCCAGGCUGAGCCUGUGUGGACCACAGCACUGUGAUCCAGGUGUCCUCCUGCCUCCUGCCAUCUUUUGGAUUGUUUGGAAGCUCAAUUCAAAUUAUUCACGAAAACUCAAAUAUUUGUUUCCUAUUAAAAAAAAAAGUCUUCUUUUUAAAACAAACUCUGAGAUUGACCAAGGCACACAGAUGCCCUGGAGCUUCCUCCCCAACUCCACUGGGCUAUUCUCUCCCUUGCAGUUCAGCUGCUGCUUCCUUCCAUGCCAAAGAGCAUCCCCAUCUCCAACUCGUCCUUUCUCCUUUGUGCAUUAAAACAACUUGAGAUCCUCAGAAUGGACUGCUCCCCAAACUAAAACAAAAAAAUGCAAGCAUAAUAAAAUGCAUAGAAAGG
RNAcentral lists this long non-coding RNA (1703 nucleotides) under Homo sapiens (human). RNAcentral's name for it is "long non-coding RNA NONHSAT178078.1". The record is from RNAcentral. Lineage: Eukaryota; Metazoa; Chordata; Mammalia; Primates; Hominidae.